CUGCGAUGUGGUUGUGUUUGGCCAAAGAAACUUGUGUAGCCUUAGGUUUCACUUUGACAACUUAGUUUUUGUUCUUUGGUUCGAGGCCGCAGGAAGGUGACGAUGGGCAGCUCAGGCCCGUAAUCGGCUCACUUGAAGACUACCUAACCCUAAAUGUAGACAUCAUUUGAGCUUUNNCACAUAGAUCGUUGAUUUUGUGUUGCUUAGAUUUACUGGAAGCCUUGCUUUAUUUUUCUAGGACUUCUUAGGGGCGACACUUUUUGUUUCUUCCUUUCUGUUUGAGACCCCUUGGUGGAGGAGCUUGUUGUUCUACCUUUCUAUUUGAGAUUCCGACGAUCCUCUUCCAUACAAUAAUGAAGGUUGGCGA
RNAcentral lists this unclassified non-coding RNA (367 nucleotides) under Hevea brasiliensis (rubber tree). Lineage: Eukaryota; Viridiplantae; Streptophyta; Magnoliopsida; Malpighiales; Euphorbiaceae. The record is from RNAcentral.